CGCCGCCCGGGAGGGAGCCCGGCCAUCUCCCGCCCGGCCCGGUGUCGGCUCCGCGGCCCGCGUGCGGACCGCUCGGGCGGCUGCGCCUCGCGCUCUCGCCGGGUUGUUGCCCUUGGACAAGCUUUGCCAAGCGCCGCGGGGCUCCGGAAGUCCCAGAGCUGGGACACCGAGCCGGGGCAGGGAGCUGGGUGCAGGGACCGCAGCAGCUCUCAGCUGUCUUCCCGCAGCCGGGCGGGUUUGCACCUGCCGCGCCCCCUGCCCCCUGCUGAUCCGCACUUUCCCAACUUUGGCCCGCGCGCAGCGGAGGUCGGUAGCUGUGGGUUCUGGUAGCGCCGGAGAGAAUGGGCGUCUGGCGGGGCACCCCCAGCGCCGCUGCCUAGGAGCCUACGCUUUGGGUCCAGCUGCCAGGCCAGCGCUGGCAAGACAGAUGCCUGCUGCACUCCAGCCCUCCAGAGCCAGGACGCGGGUGUCCACUCUGGGCCCGGCUGGCCCGGAAUUUCCCAGCGGCCUUGGGGCAUCACAAACCAAGCAAAGAAGGAGAAAGAGAAGUGUGAGGCCCUUUCUGCGUGCGCUGAGCUUUGGAGUCCUGGUGCCUGCUGGGCCUCUUACCUUUGCAGGCGCAUACCACCAUCCAGUCCAGCACCUGGGGUGAAAUUAUUUUGAUUUUUAAAAUGCAUAAAUUUUACCUCUAUUAAAAUGAUUUAAAUUUAAAAAUGAUUAAAAUAAAAAGCAAAUUCGAUCUUUGCAGCUAAUUAUUUUCAGAGUUGAAGCUUUUGUCCUGUAUGUUGCUCAUAACUGCCAGGGAGAGCGAGCCACAUCCAACUUUUCAUUUUGCCAUUUUGGAAACGCACCACCAAACCUAAGGACUUGCCCCAGGUCCCAUGUGAGACAUAGAAAUGGCUUCUCAUGCAUGCCAUUCCUCAGGUGGCUGGAAC
This 935-nucleotide long non-coding RNA is filed under the name Marmota monax (woodchuck). Lineage: Eukaryota; Metazoa; Chordata; Mammalia; Rodentia; Sciuridae. The record is from RNAcentral.